This 105-nucleotide ribosomal RNA is filed under the name Arthrobacter sp. SPG23. Its description in RNAcentral is "partial 16S ribosomal RNA". The stretch from base 1 to 92 matches the Rfam family "Bacterial small subunit ribosomal RNA", at positions 1442 to 1533 of the family's 1533-position model. The record is from RNAcentral. Lineage: Bacteria; Bacillati; Actinomycetota; Actinomycetes; Micrococcales; Micrococcaceae.
GUGGGAGGGAGCUGUCGAAGGUGGGACUGGCGAUUGGGACUAAGUCGUAACAAGGUAGCCGUACCGGAAGGUGCGGCUGGAUCACCUCCUUUCUAAGGAGCACCU